This is a long non-coding RNA of Podarcis raffonei (Aeolian wall lizard), 501 nucleotides long. RefSeq lists it as uncharacterized. The transcript is spliced from 3 exons. The record is from RefSeq and is a predicted model, not a curated record. NCBI's taxonomy places the organism in Eukaryota, Metazoa, Chordata, Lepidosauria, Squamata, Lacertidae.
CCAGCAGUUGGAUUCCAACACAUUGUGGUGCCCCUCUUCCUCCACCGCGAGCUUCCUGGGAGACUUUGGCUACUCUCCAGCUCCCUCUGGCUUGAACAGAGAAAACAGCAGGACCAUGAGGCUCUGGAAGACUUUGACGCUCCUGAUCUGGGGGCUGCUUCCAGAUCCAGAAGAAACAACAGCAAUAAGCAACCAGCCAGACCUUGAUCUCUCCCUAAACACUACUGACAACACAUACCUGAUUUAUGUGCUUUUCACCUUGAAAACCCUUAUCCUCCUGGGUCUGGGCAUUGCAAUUAUCUGGAUGCAUAGAAGACAAUUAGAAGAGAUCUUCAGCUGCCAUGUGGCAAGAAAAUGCUGGACAGCAAUCCCAUAGCGACCAAUGUAACUGUUUCUUUACAUAAUAUAUUGUGUUUAACUAACACUGUUUUGUAACUCUAGUUGACAUUAAACUAUUUACGUACCAACCGGAUUCAUCUUCCCCCAAAAAGUACAAUAGAA